This 1483-nucleotide long non-coding RNA is filed under the name Mytilus galloprovincialis (Mediterranean mussel). The record is from RNAcentral. Lineage: Eukaryota; Metazoa; Mollusca; Bivalvia; Mytilida; Mytilidae.
AAUAGAAAUCUAUGAAAUUUAAACAUAAGGUUUAUGACCAUAAAAGGAAGGUUGGGAUUGAUUUUGGGAGUUUUGGUCCCAACAGUUUAGGAAUUAGGGGCCAAAAGGGUCCAAAAUUAAACUUUGUUUGAUUUUAUCAAAAAAUGAAUUAUUGGGAUUCUUUGAUAUGCCAAAUCUAACCGUGUAUUUAGAUUCUUAAUUGUUGGUCCUGUUUUCAAAUUGGUCUACAUUAAGGUCCAAAUGGUCAAAAAUUAAACUUAGUUUGAUUUUAACAAAAAUUGAAUUAUUGGGGUUCUUUGAUUUUGAGUUUGCCAUUUGAUUUGGGACUUUCCUUUUUGAAUUUUCCUCGGAGUUCAGUAUUUUUGUGUUUUUACUUUUUAUACAUACCAAUAAGUAUAGUAUUAAAUUUAGUUAUAUUAUUUUUAAAAUCUUUAUUGCAAAACUACACCUAUUUAUAAGGGUCACUCAAUAACAAAUAAAAUACAUACAUACACGAAUACAUACAAAAAUACAUACAAGAAUACAACGUAUCAACAAUUAAAUUGACAAACAAAUGUAAAUUUACUACAGUGUUAUACGCAUCAUGAACCUAUCUGACAUUGAUCGGUUUUCCUCAGAUCUACAGACUCGUAAAUUAAGAUGCCAAUUUGACAAACAGGUUCAGCGGUGAAACAUAGGUAUUAAAUAUAAGGAUCACAAUCUUGAAAGUAUGACACUUUGUCUCUCAGAUGAGCAAACAAAUUUGGACGUAAUGACAUACAUGUGCUAAUAUCACAAUAAAACAUGAAAUGAUUUUCAUUAUCUUAGUCUUUAAAUUUUAUUACACAAUCUUUGUACUUUUUAGAUGUUCAUAUAUAUAUCUACCUACAUCAAUACCUAGGGAUUGAUCCCUUAAUUCUAAAUCUUAAAAACAAUGUGAACAUGUGUAUGCAUGAUUUUUAUACAACUAUUUCUUGUCAACGUUAUUAUAAGUACAUGUACCUAUCUAUUUUCUAACUAUCUGUCCACUUUUAACUAACGUGAACGAGUUAAAAUAGGUUUAAUUUACCAUUUCCUACACAAGAAAAUGUCUGUACCAAGUCAUGAAUAUGAUUAAGGACUUUUGAAUAUUCCUUGGAGGUCGGUAUUGUUGUUAUUUUACUUUUUGAUUAAUAUAUUACUAUCUAUACUCAUAUCUUAUAGAUACAAAUUUGAAUGAAUGAAUGAAUAUUUUAAUAUUAAAGUGCAACCUGAAUUAUAACAAACAAUUACAUUUAUAUAUACAAGUAAUUUUCAGCCAGCCAAAUAGGCUUAUAAUGCAUUGUACAUUGUGUUUCAUUAUUGAAAAUAAAAUAAAUAAAUAAAUAUAGUUCAAAUUUACACGCAAAUUAUAGGAAGGCACGUUAACAGUUGAUCACAGAUUACUGAUUGUAAAACAGUUCAAAAUAAAGUUAGAAACAAGCUUGCUGUAAUUACAAAAUAAAUGUUUUAAUUUUAUGUUCGC